RNAcentral lists this ribosomal RNA (663 nucleotides) under Lactococcus sp. HN87. RNAcentral's name for it is "bacterial SSU rRNA". It matches the Rfam family "Bacterial small subunit ribosomal RNA", at positions 27 to 673 of the family's 1533-position model. Lineage: Bacteria; Bacillati; Bacillota; Bacilli; Lactobacillales; Streptococcaceae. The record is from RNAcentral.
GGACGAACGCUGGCGGCGUGCCUAAUACAUGCAAGUUGAGCGCUGAAGGUUGGUACUUGUACCGACUGGAUGAGCAGCGAACGGGUGAGUAACGCGUGGGGAAUCUGCCUUUGAGCGGGGGACAACAUUUGGAAACGAAUGCUAAUACCGCAUAAAAACUUUAAACACAAGUUUUAAGUUUGAAAGAUGCAAUUGCAUCACUCAAAGAUGAUCCCGCGUUGUAUUAGCUAGUUGGUGAGGUAAAGGCUCACCAAGGCGAUGAUACAUAGCCGACCUGAGAGGGUGAUCGGCCACAUUGGGACUGAGACACGGCCCAAACUCCUACGGGAGGCAGCAGUAGGGAAUCUUCGGCAAUGGACGAAAGUCUGACCGAGCAACGCCGCGUGAGUGAAGAAGGUUUUCGGAUCGUAAAACUCUGUUGGUAGAGAAGAACGUUGGUGAGAGUGGAAAGCUCAUCAAGUGACGGUAACUACCCAGAAAGGGACGGCUAACUACGUGCCAGCAGCCGCGGUAAUACGUAGGUCCCGAGCGUUGUCCGGAUUUAUUGGGCGUAAAGCGAGCGCAGGUGGUUUAUUAAGUCUGGUGUAAAAGGCAGUGGCUCAACCAUUGUAUGCAUUGGAAACUGGUAGACUUGAGUGCAGGAGAGGAGAGUGGAAUUCCAUG